This 211-nucleotide ribosomal RNA is filed under the name uncultured bacterium. RNAcentral's name for it is "partial 16S ribosomal RNA". It matches the Rfam family "Bacterial small subunit ribosomal RNA", at positions 524 to 733 of the family's 1533-position model. The record is from RNAcentral.
UACGUAGGGGCUAGCGUUGUCCGGAAUCAUUGGGCGUAAAGCGCGUGUAGGCGGUCCGGUAAGUCUGCUGUGAAAGUCGGGGGCUCAACCCUCGGAAGCCGGUGGAUACUGCUGGGCUAGAGUGCGGAAGAAGGCGAGUGGAAUUCUGGUGUAGCGGUGAAAUGCGCAGAUAUCAGGAGGAACACCAUUGCGAAAGGCAGCUCCGCUUGGG